AAAGUCGUAACAAGGUUUCCGUAGGUGAACCUGCGGAAGGAUCAUUAACGAGACUUGCCUUUUGGCAGACCUCCCACCCCCUGUGUACCGUACUUGUUGCUUUGGCAGGCCCGUCCCUCGGGACCGCCGGCGUUCGCGCUGGCCCGCGCCUGCCAGAGGACCAAAAAAUCUUGUUUUACAUGUCGUCUGAGUAAACUUUAUAAUAAUUAAAACUUUCAACAACGGAUCUCUUGGUUCUG
This 239-nucleotide unclassified non-coding RNA is filed under the name Ascomycota sp. Its description in RNAcentral is "partial contains small subunit ribosomal RNA, internal transcribed spacer 1, and 5.8S ribosomal RNA". The stretch from base 1 to 47 matches the Rfam family "Eukaryotic small subunit ribosomal RNA", at positions 1785 to 1831 of the family's 1831-position model. Lineage: Eukaryota; Fungi; Ascomycota. The record is from RNAcentral.